AACAUAAUAAUUACUUUUCUUUUUCCGAAAUUUUCCAACUACUGAUUAUUUAGAUAGAAUAUUUAUUUUUAUCACGUUUUUUUAGAGAGAAAUUGAUUUUUGUCACGUUUCCAUUUUAAGUCUGAGAAAGCCCACUUGAAAUAAGGCGAAGUUAGUUAUAAGAUGUAUUCCAAAAACAUAUACUUAUUAUAACGACCGAGCUUAUGUGUAUACUUCGUAUAGUGAACUGAUCGAACAAAUACUACAAUUAUUAAACUAUAUAUUGUGUUCAAUAAAACUCCCUUUUAUUUCUUCUUUGUCACACCUCUAGUUCUCAGGUUCAUGAAAAUCUUGAAGUCCAUAAAAAUAAGAAAAAGAAAAAGCUUUAGUCGGUGACAUGUACUGGCCAGCAGGGCUUAGUAAUUGAGUUGAUCAGACGCAAAUGAUGAUGGGACCACAACGUGCAUCGGCCACCAUGUAUUUUUGGUCCAACUAACUGGUUGAUUUGAAGCUGAUAUUAACGAAUACACCAUACGGCCAAAUAAUCGAGACAUUGCUGCAUCUCUUGUUUUCCGACGCCGCUGUCGGCAUCGCCUCUUCUCAACUCCCUUCAUGCUCUCCUCAAAUAUGUGAGCUCGUGCUUUGUGUUUCUUUUCAUUGUCUCGUAGAUUUUUUUCUUUGGUUUAGUAUAGGCAAUGGAGGGUUUGGAGCGAACUGGUCUUCCUGUUCUUCCGAUUGUGAAACCUUCAUCUGCAAUGGAGGUUCUGGUCUCCUCUAUAUAUCGAGUUCAAGCUUCUGGAUCUGAAACUGUCUCUGGAACUAACCAGAAAAUCAUUGGAAAAUCCAGCGCUUGCUAUCAUUGUCUUCUCUUAUGAAUAACAAACAACUCGUCGUUCCAUCAGACGGUGUUUGGUGGUCGAUCGAUAAUGCCUAAACCUUUUCGUUCUAGCUGUCGGAGAAGAUCUUUGAUGGUGUACCAAACAUACGGAGCAUUUGAUGGCACCAUAAAAUCAUGAUUAACUCCUUCAACAUGUGUUGGAGCCAGGGGCGAAUCUAGAAUAAUUUUUCAGUGGGUGCAAAAUAGAAAAAAGAACAAAGGGGGAAUCGAACUUGAGACUUGAAGGGGGUGCACAACACUACUAAACCAUCUGAUCUAGCUGGUUUCUUUGUAUUUUUACAUACAAAACGGUAAAUAUUUAUAAAUUUACGGGUGCACGUGCCACCAUAGUCUUGGCACUGGCUUCGCCCCUGGUUGGAGCUGUCUCCAGUGGCGGAGGAGGAGACAUUUCUAUGGUGGAGGUUUCGUCUAUAAUACUCACUUAGAUUGACUCUCAGGGACGAUUUCAGGUGCAGAUGGGUUACCCAAACUAGAUGCAUGUAGUAAUCAAUUUCCUAUUAAUUUGUUCCCCAUAUAAGUAUGGUGGAGUGGUUUCCAGUACCUUCACUUUUGACCUAAACAAUGUCUUGUUUCUUGGGUAUGGUUGGAUAAUGGGAAGAAACUACCGAUGAAAAUCAAACCAAUAUGUCUUCCUUCAACUAAAAUGUGUAAAUCAUUCCCAUGCAAUAAGGACAAGAUAACCUCUCAUAGAUUGUCCAUCCUGAUAGCAUCCCCUAUGCAAGAAAGUUACUGAUGGUUCACAGAAGAAUUGAUCGCAUAGUAAGGUUUCUUCUCAAAAACAAUCAUACAAGUGCACCCAUGUUGACCAUAAUUUAUUAAAUUCCUUUAUCGAAGGUUGUAUAAAAAUAUCAAGUGACGGCUUUGGAUGAUUAAGUCCAAGGAUUAAUAUAUUCAUGAAUAUAAAUUUUCUUUUCA
Molecule: long non-coding RNA, 1792 nt
Organism: Brassica napus (rape)
Lineage: Eukaryota; Viridiplantae; Streptophyta; Magnoliopsida; Brassicales; Brassicaceae
Exons: 2
Source: RefSeq, a predicted model, not a curated record